Molecule: ribosomal RNA, 393 nt
Filed under: uncultured bacterium
Lineage: Bacteria
Description: partial 16S ribosomal RNA
Rfam family: Bacterial small subunit ribosomal RNA
Source: RNAcentral
AUACGGAGGAUCCAAGCGUUAUCCGGAUUUAUUGGGUUUAAAGGGUGCGCAGGCGGAAGAUUAAGUCGGCGGUGAAAUUUUGCAGCUCAACUGUAAAAGUGCCAUCGAUACUGGUUUUCUUGAGUGUGGAUGAAGUAGGCGGAAUUUGUGGUGUAGCGGUGAAAUGCAUAGAUAUCACGAGGAACUCCGAUUGCGCAGGCAGCUUACUAGGCCAUAAAUGACGCUCAGGCACGAAGGCGUGGGGAUCAAACAGGAUUAGAUACCCUGGUAGUCCACGCAGUAAACGAUGAUUACUCGCUGUUUGCGAUACACAGUAAGCGGCUUAGCGAAAGCGUUAAGUAAUCCACCUGGGGAGUACGUUCGCAAGAAUGAAACUCAAAGGAAUUGGCGGGG